UGUCUUCAUUGGAGAAUUACUUGUUUAGGUCUUCUGCCCAUUUUUGGAUUGGGUUGUUUUAAGAAUUUUUAAACAAGGGUACAGUCUUCUGUGCAGGGUCUUUUGGCUGUAACGGAUGUUGUUGGGACAAUUGGUGAAAGUUGAAUGUGGUCUGAGGACUGAAUCAGUGUUAACCUCCCCAUCCGGCUGGUUGUGUCAUGGUUGUGGGGGAGAACGUUCUUGUUGUAGGACUUCCACACUUAAAACAUGUGAGGCUGGCAGGGCACUGUGUUGAUAACUUACUUUCAAAUAGUUCAGGAAAAGAGUCCUUUGUUUUCUUUUUUUGCAACAUGUCAUUAAGUUUGAUAUUGUUUCAAACAAGAAAGAGUGAUGGGGGAGGGAGGAAAGAGUUAGGGGAGAGGAAGGGCCUCUCUAAUAAGGUGACGUUUGACCAGAGACCUGAAUGAAGUGAGGGAGAAGCUGGGCGUCUGGAGGAAGAGCAUUCUAGGCAGAGGGAAUAGAAUGUGCAAAGGCUUUGAGGAGGGGCAAGUGGUGUUUAGCUAGGGGUCCAGUAAGGUUGCUGCCGAGUGAUGGAGUGGGAAAGAGGCAAGUGAUGGGUCAGGGUGGUAAUGGGGACCACAUCAAAGUCUAGGUAAGGGUUUGGGGUUUUGGAGGGUUUGCUCUGCAGGGGGUACGUAAACCCACUCCGUGUCAGAAGGGUUGCUCUGACUGCUGUGUGGAAGUAGUCUACAGAGCAGCAAGAUUGUAAGCAAGGGGGCCAGUUGGGAGAUGAGGAGGGUCAUUCACUCUCUGGUGGCUAUUUGGGCUGCAGAAACUUGCAGGAAGGCUUCAAAGAGCCACCAACUGGCCCCCCGAGCACAGAGCCCUGGGAUGGCUCAGCCCCAGCAGCAGGGAAGCCAUCUGACUGCUCCCGUCCCUUCUGCCCGUCUUCCCUUGGAGACCUGCCAAGAUGUGUCCUGCCCAGAAGUUGCUCACCAAGGGGCAGCUCUGAUCAUGACUUGCCAAGAAGGUUGAGAAGCCAGCUGGUUGCAUUUUUAAUCUAAUUUUUCUAUUAUUUGGCACAAGUGCUAAAAUGUCCUUUUAAAUUAAUUAUCAUAGAACCAAAGACAGGCUUAGAGAGAAAUAUUGUAAUUAGCAGAUCCUGUCUCCUUACCUGGGGCUGCCUGACAACCACAGCACUCUUGUCCUGUGCAGAACCUCUGAAUGAAAGGAUCUUGAGGUUUUGUCUGGUCUCAACUGACAAAGAAAUCAGUGCAUUGAGCCAUGAAUUUUGGACCCCAAAGGACCUUGGUAAGGAAUAACUCCAGUCUCCUCUUUCUCUGGACCCAUAAGGUCUGUUGGGUGGCUGAGAUUCAGCUGAUCUUGGUUGGACUCAGCUGGGCAUGGCUCCAAAUUCCAAGUCCACUUUGGGCCUGCUUCCUAGAUCUCUGUCUGGGACUGGCACCACCUGGGGCAGGGACUUCUCGUGGUUAUGGCACAAGAGACCGACUCGAACCAGUUAUGCCCAUAAAUUCAGACGCCUCCUGGCUCCAAGCAGAUCACAUCAUGAGUGGAGCUGGUGAGCAGCGUGGGAGGUCACACGGAGGAGCAGAAGAGCCAGGGUCUGAACCUGCAUCUUUCAACUCCACGUCCAUGGGUCUGGCUGCCGCAGUGAGUGACUUCCCAGCCAAUGAGUUUCUCAACACGCAUCCCGAUGUGCUUGGGCCUGGGAUGAAGGGCCUUCAUCCAGCUCUCAUAAACGCUGUGUCCACCAGACCCCAAAGGUCUGUCUGGGCUGACGAGGUUCAGGGCUGUCCAAUGAUGCUCUCCCAACACAGCGGGAGCCUGGGUGGCCUCGCACGAUGGCCUCGAACAUCUCCUGUCUCGGCCUGCAGGUGUGCGGGUGGGCCUGCCAGGGCCAGCAGAAGUGGCCUGGAGCACCACAGGCCGGGGAUGCAGGACGCUGAGCUCUCCUCCUGUGGCCUUCCCUUCCACCUUGGAUGUGACCGUCCCUCGGAUUUCUCCCUCAGUGAAAUAAGAACCAAGGUCAUCGGCCAAGUGUGGAGAGAGGGCAGAAGAAGAGGGAAUCACUCGGACAAUGCUAAGGGCCCACCUGAGUCACGUCUAGUAAUUCAGACAUUGGCACAGAGGCAGAAGAAAGGUGCACACCGGACUUGGAGCCCACUGACUCGUGCUUACAAGGACAGGAAAGAACAGGUCCUAGUGGAAUGUCCUUUCCAAGGCACUGUUGGUAUCUGUUCUACAAAAUGAAACCCUUAAAGAUGCUCAGAUGCUUCUGUGCACGAAGCACCCCCAUUGGCAUCGCACUUAGAGAUGAGCACUCUGCUAACUCAGCUCCUUCUCGGGCAGCUGCUCACAGAUCUGUUCGGGUGGGGGAGACCUCUCCUGGCCUUCCUCAAAACCAUCAUUUGUGUAACCAUCCCCAGGGCUACAGACAGCUAAGAAGUGAGGAAAAGCAAGCAACAUCUGGUGUUAAACAAAUACCAUCAUCUUACAAAUGACUCAUCUCUGGGAGAAUGAUUCGUGCAUAUGCAGAGCAGAGGGGAGUGAACACCAGGACCCGAUACUAGAAAAUCAACACCUGGAAGGCUGUUGUAGGACCUCCUGAGAGCUCUACUGUGUCUCCAGCUAAAUGCCAUUUUGGGAAAAAGAGAAGGUGCUGGUGUUCAUAGCUUUUAGUCACACUGGACAGGAUGCCCGCCUCCUGCUCUCUGUUCUGAAGAGCAGAAUUCUGCUGACAGACAGCUGGAGAGUGGGUCCGUGUCUGGGGUGCUGAGUGAGCUUGUGUGGUCCCCACGAGCAUCUCUUGGCCUGCUUCCUCGCCCCCUAUUCCUCGCCAAGACCAUCCCUGUUGUUCUGCCGCCGGUGCGGUUGGGAGCUCUUCAGACCUUCUCGAGCAUCAUCCAGACAGUUAAGCAUGUAAAUGGCUAAGACAGAUGCUUUAUGACUUGCCUGGUUAUUAUGGGUGUCAUACCCCCAAAGAAGAAAAAUAUUAAUGAGUCGUUCUGUAACACUUACGUGACUCCAAUUAAGCUGUGAUGGGAAGGGCCCGGAGCCAAAUGGCGAUGGAGAACUUCGUCACUGGCAUCCGACUGUUAAGUCUCUCUCCUUUCAGCAUGAUCUUUUUCUCUCUCAACUGAAAUCCGUCAUCCAGCUUCCUGUGAGGCAACCAGUCCCUCAUGCUGACCCAGGCCAUCAAGGAUCUUCUCUGCAAGGUUCCAGACAAGGCUGCUACCACCAAAUGUAUCCUCUGACAUAAAUGACAGCCACGGAUGUGUUCGGUUUGUCUUGUGUAGCGUUUUAAACGAAAAUUAAUGGUUUGCAGCGUUCAAGAGAUUUCAUAUAAAUAUCUAAAUUCUCAGCUUCUCUGGGGAAAAAAACCAGAAAGAUUUGGCAAGACUGGGUUAACAUUUUCACAUUAGCAACAAUUGGCUGUUCCUUUUAGAUGGGCUGUGGCUGUUCACUUUGCCGUGGACCCCACUACUCCCAAUUGCCUCCCUUCUCACAUGGUCAAAUUGAUUAUCAGGAGCUGUGAACAGGGCACUCCAGCGUAGCUGUCACUGUAACACCAGGAAGUCAUCCUAUGUGGUGUGAUUUCUUCACGUUCCCCAUGGGAAUCGUGUCAUCUGCCCCCUUCCUCCCUCACGGAUGUGCAACAGCAGCUCUAAAUGCUUCUAGUUUCUCAGAGGAAAAAAAAGCCGGCAAGCCAGAAAAGUACAGAAAUAAGAGUCCUUUCUAUUUACUGUGUUCAUUAAAUGAACAAAUGAGCACAUCACUGGAAAGUACAGUGACUAAGAAGUAGCCCAAAGGGAAAAACCUAAUGGGGGAAUUUUAUUAAAAAACAUAAUUUACACAGCCACGCUCUGGGUUUCCCUCUCAGCCUCUCGGUGGUUCUCAAAGCCCCUGGGAGCAGCUUGAGUGGUGGAAAGUGUAUUUGAAGGUUCUAUCGGCUUGAGGGCGGGGCUGUGGGAGGGGGGCCCCCCAAAUCCUGUGGCCAGCUGAUAAGAGCUCUCCUCACAGGGCUGUUUGUGGGUCACGAGGUGCUUGGCCACAAACCUUGACUCUUGGCAGGGCUUGACUGUGGUAGAUUUGUUGGCAAGAUUAGUUCAAGUGCAUUCUUUUCAUUCAAAAACCCUUCUCUGGAAAGGAGGUUCACGAGGCACCCUGGGGGCAAAGGAGGAACCCCGCCAUUCUUUUUUUAUAGGACUUCCUCCUCUGUCACGUGGGUCCACCCAAGCGGCAAGAGUCUGGGUGGAGAGAGGGGUGCCCAGCCCAGCCACCAUGGGCUCUGCGCCCUGCCAGCCAGCAGCAGUCAUCCGAUGAGCUCCUCCUUGUCAAUCAUGAACCACUUUUGCAUAUUUGUGAUGUGCUCAGUGUUUCAUCAGAAGUGUGUUCACUGGCCCAUCCUGCAGGACUUGCCCUCAAAGGCAUGUUUUACUCCCUCUUCCCUUUUCUCCUGGUCCAGCCUCCCCCUUCUCUGAAUCCUGUCCUCACCAGCCCCUCCCCUCCUGGUAGAACCACCCUCAGCCUCUGCAUGGCACACUCCUCACCCCCAACCGUGGCCCUGCAGACAGAAAUUGUGUCGUGUUGAGAGACAAAGCAAGGUCCCCUUGGAGAAAGAGUGUCCUCCCACAGACCCUUCUUGAGAACAGUCUUUUCCAACGCACAACUUACAUGCUGCUUAGUAAUGUUUAAGAGUGAACUAAAACUUCCUCCCUUCCAUGCCCGUCCCCCAGAAAGCCCCUGCCCAGGGGGUAGGUGAAGAGAACUGGGGUAAAUUCUCGAGCUUUCUCCUCCCCGGCCUCCAAACCCCUCCAGGGUUCUCCAGGGUCUGAGUCCCAGCAUGAGGGCACGGCGCUGGCAAGUUCUCUCAGAGACGUGAGACCGCAAAGCCUCAGUCCCGGCGAAGCUGCCUGAGAAGGGAGGGCCUGAGGGUCAGCAGAAGUGGGAGCGCCUUGGUUACCUUUGUUUUCGGCCCACGCCCAUCUAUGAACUCGUCUCACUUGUUGAAGGAAGACCCCAAGGUGGGACUUGGAGUGUUGCUGUCCCAUCCACUGCCACGUCCAAGACACACUUACAGUAACGUGGCCUGUGCCACUUGAGAGCGGUUCCUAAGGAGUGGCCUUCUCAGAAGUGUGUUCCUACCUCAGUAUGAGGGGCUACUUAGAAGAUGGGGAAGAAUCUGGACACGUUCUCCUUUGCCUAAAUAAACAGGUUGGAUGACAAGGACGGACAACGCCAGAAGGCAGGGGGCCAGCCUGCAGCCUGGCGCCCGCGGCGCGGGAGGUGAAGGUGGCCUGUUUGGAGGAUGUGGACUUGCCCUGCACUGCCCACUGGGACCCGCAGGUCCCCUACGCGGUCUCCUGGGCCAAG
Camelus dromedarius (Arabian camel) is the source of this 5373-nucleotide RNA transcript. It is a transcript of the gene named CD83 molecule, with no coding region annotated. The record is from RefSeq and is a predicted model, not a curated record. The transcript has 10 exons. Lineage: Eukaryota; Metazoa; Chordata; Mammalia; Artiodactyla; Camelidae.